Molecule: non-coding RNA, 161 nt
Organism: Capsicum annuum
Lineage: Eukaryota; Viridiplantae; Streptophyta; Magnoliopsida; Solanales; Solanaceae
Source: Rfam
AUACUUACCCGGACGGGGUCGAUGGGCGAUCAAUAAGACCAUGGCCUAGGUUGGUGACCUCCAUUGCUCUUUGGAGGGGUGCCUGCUUAAGGUUGGCCCAAGUGGCCGAGCCUAUGCCAUAAUUUGUGAUAACGGAUUUGUUAAUUGUACUUGGUGUCUGA